AUGCGUGGCCACGCUUGGCACGAUUCGCACCGCAACACGCCUGCUUCUGUUCCUCCUCCGUGCGCCACCUCCGCUAUGACCAGGAGCUCUAGAGUGAUGUGGGAGAGCCUCUUGACGAAGCAGAAGCACAAGUUGGCCGGCGUUGCAGUGGGAUGGCAGGCCCGUCAUGCGCGACGGAUAGAGGCCGGCUUGCUGGUGAGCUCACCGGAGGUGAGCGAGGACGACACAGCGAUGGAGGAGGCGUCCGAUGACGAGCGAACACCCCCACCGGCAUUGGUGCAUGCUUACUUUACCAUGGAGCAGGCGCAGGUGCAAGGAAAGGAAACAUAG
RNAcentral lists this ribosomal RNA (330 nucleotides) under Triticum aestivum (bread wheat). RNAcentral describes it as "partial small subunit ribosomal RNA". The record is from RNAcentral. Lineage: Eukaryota; Viridiplantae; Streptophyta; Magnoliopsida; Poales; Poaceae.